GAUGAACGCUAGCGGCAGGCUUAACACAUGCAAGUCGGGCGGCAGCGGGGUGGGAGCUUGCUCCCACUGCCGGCGAGCGGCGCACGGGUGAGUAACACGUAUGCAACCUGCCCCUGUCAGGGGGACAACCCGCCGAAAGGCGGGCUAAGCCCGCGUAUAUCUCCCCGGGGCAUCCCGGGGGGAGGAAAGGAGCGAUCCGGACAGGGAUGGGCAUGCGGCGCAGUAGCUGGUCGGCGGGGUAACGGCCCACCGAGGCGACGAUGCGUAGGGGUUCUGAGAGGAAGGCACCCCACACUGGUACUGAGACACGGACCAG
This 316-nucleotide ribosomal RNA is filed under the name uncultured bacterium. RNAcentral describes it as "bacterial SSU rRNA". It matches the Rfam family "Bacterial small subunit ribosomal RNA", at positions 28 to 334 of the family's 1533-position model. The record is from RNAcentral.